Impatiens glandulifera is the source of this 73-nucleotide non-coding RNA. The record is from the annotation of a RefSeq genome assembly. Lineage: Eukaryota; Viridiplantae; Streptophyta; Magnoliopsida; Ericales; Balsaminaceae.
GGGGAUGUAGCUCAAAUGGUAGAGCGCUCGCUUUGCAUGCGAGAUGCACGGGGUUCGAUCCCCGGCAUCUCCA